UACAGAGGGUGCAAGCGUUAAUCGGAAUUACUGGGCGUAAAGCGUGCGCAGGCGGUGAUGUAAGACAGUUGUGAAAUCCCCGGGCUCAACCUGGGAACUGCAUCUGUGACUGCAUUGCUGGAGUGCGGCAGAGGGGGAUGGAAUUCCGCGUGUAGCAGUGAAAUGCGUAGAUAUGCGGAGGAACACCGAUGGCGAAGGCAAUCCCCUGGGCCUGCACUGACGCUCAUGCACGAAAGCGUGGGGAGCAAACAGG
RNAcentral lists this ribosomal RNA (253 nucleotides) under uncultured bacterium. RNAcentral's name for it is "partial 16S ribosomal RNA". It matches the Rfam family "Bacterial small subunit ribosomal RNA", at positions 524 to 776 of the family's 1533-position model. The record is from RNAcentral.